Molecule: ribosomal RNA, 324 nt
Filed under: uncultured Glomus
Lineage: Eukaryota; Fungi; Glomeromycota; Glomeromycetes; Glomerales; Glomeraceae
Description: SSU rRNA
Rfam family: Eukaryotic small subunit ribosomal RNA
Source: RNAcentral
GAGUGUUUAAAGCAGGCUCACGCUUGAAUACAUUAGCAUGGAUAAUGAAUAGGACGUUUGAUUCUAUUUUGUUGGUUUCUAGGAUCGACGUAAUGAUUAAUAGGGAUAGUUGGGGGCAUUAGUAUUCAAUUGUCAGAGGUGAAAUUCUUUGGAUUUAUUGAAGACUAACUACUGCGAAAAGCAUUUGCCAAGGAUGUUUUCAUUAAUCAAGAACGAAAGUUAGGGGAUCGAAGACGAUCAGAUACCGUCGUAGUCUUAACCAUAAACUAUGCCGACUAGGGAUCGGAUGAUGUUAAUUUUUAAUGACUCAUUCGGCGCCUUACG